GGAGCCAGGGACAUUGAUUUGUUCUCCUGCGGUCCUGGGUGACCAUAAGUACAGUGACCUGCCAGCUGCCAACGCUUGACUUAAGACCUGGCACCCCAGGCUCUCCUCAGGGAUCAGUCACAGAGGCACAGGAUGUCUGUACGGCUGGACUUGGUCACCUGGAUCCUCUUGGUCUCAGAGUCUACACUGGACAUCAAACCCAUAGAAGUGCCACCAGGCCCCCAGGCAAACAGAAGCAAGUCUUCACUGUGACCCAUAGUAUCACUGUAAACUGUCUGGUAAGACGACAUCUCAGGCACAAAAGGACACCAGGGCAGGAGGGACAUUUUAACAACUUGAAUGCCAUCACCCAGAACCGGUCAGGGGC
This 367-nucleotide long non-coding RNA is filed under the name Rattus norvegicus (Norway rat). RNAcentral's name for it is "long non-coding RNA NONRATT007463". The record is from RNAcentral. Lineage: Eukaryota; Metazoa; Chordata; Mammalia; Rodentia; Muridae.